This 427-nucleotide ribosomal RNA is filed under the name uncultured Alphaproteobacteria bacterium. Its description in RNAcentral is "bacterial SSU rRNA". It matches the Rfam family "Bacterial small subunit ribosomal RNA", at positions 8 to 485 of the family's 1533-position model. Lineage: Bacteria; Pseudomonadati; Pseudomonadota; Alphaproteobacteria. The record is from RNAcentral.
AGAGUUUGAUCCUGGCUCAGAACGAACGCUGGCGGCAGGCCUAACACAUGCAAGUCGAACGAUGCCCUCGGGCAUAGUGGCGCACGGGUGAGUAACACGUGGGAACAUACCUUUUGGUGGGGGAUAACUUCGGGAAACUGAAGCUAAUACCGCAUACGCCCCAUGGGGGAAAGAUUUAUCGCCGAAAGAUUGGCCCGCGUCCGAUUAGCUAGUUGGUGAGGUAAUGGCUCACCAAGGCUCCGAUCGGUAGCUGGUCUGAGAGGAUGACCAGCCACACUGGGACUGAGACACGGCCCAGACUCCUACGGGAGGCAGCAGUGGGGAAUAUUGGACAAUGGCGCAAGCCUGAUCCAGCCAUGCCGCGUGAGUGAUGAAGGCCUUAGGGUUGUAAAGCUCUUCACCCACGACGAUGAUGACGGUAGGGAGA